UCAAGUGAAGAAGCGCAUACGGUGGAUGCCUUGGCAGUCAGAGGCGAUGAAAGACGUGGUAGCCUGCGAAAAGCUUCGGGGAGUCGGCAAACAGACUUUGAUCCGGAGAUCUCUGAAUGGGGGAACCCACCUAGGAUAACCUAGGUAUCUUGUACUGAAUCCAUAGGUGCAAGAGGCGAACCAGGGGAACUGAAACAUCUAAGUACCCUGAGGAAAAGAAAUCAACCGAGAUUCCCUUAGUAGUGGCGAGCGAACGGGGAUUAGCCCUUAAGCCUCAUUGAUUUUAGCGGAACGCUCUGGAAAGUGCGGCCAUAGUGGGUGAUAGCCCCGUACGCGAAAGGAUCUUUGAAGUGAAAUCGAGUAGGACGGAGCACGAGAAACUUUGUCUGAACAUGGGGGGACCAUCCUCCAAGGCUAAAUACUACUGACUGACCGAUAGUGAACCAGUACCGUGAGGGAAAGGCGAAAAGAACCCCGGAGAGGGGAGUGAAAUAGAACCUGAAACCGUAUGCGUACAAGCAGUGGGAGCCUACUUGUUAGGUGACUGCGUACCUUUUGUAUAAUGGGUCAGCGACUUAUAUUCAGUGGCAAGCUUAACCGUAUAGGGUAGGCGUAGCGAAAGCGAGUCUUAAUAGGGCGUUUAGUCGCUGGGUAUAGACCCGAAACCGGGCGAUCUAUCCAUGAGCAGGUUGAAGGUUAGGUAACACUGACUGGAGGACCGAACCCACUCCCGUUGAAAAGGUAGGGGAUGACUUGUGGAUCGGAGUGAAAGGCUAAUCAAGCUCGGAGAUAGCUGGUUCUCCUCGAAAGCUAUUUAGGUAGCGCCUCAUGUAUCACUCUGGGGGGUAGAGCACUGUUUCGGCUAGGGGGUCAUCCCGACUUACCAAACCGAUGCAAACUCCGAAUACCCAGAAGUGCCGAGCAUGGGAGACACACGGCGGGUGCUAACGUCCGUCGUGAAAAGGGAAACAACCCAGACCGCCAGCUAAGGUCCCAAAGUUGUGGUUAAGUGGUAAACGAUGUGGGAAGGCUUAGACAGCUAGGAGGUUGGCUUAGAAGCAGCCAUCCUUUAAAGAAAGCGUAAUAGCUCACUAGUCGAGUCGGCCUGCGCGGAAGAUGUAACGGGGCUCAAACCACACACCGAAGCUGCGGGUGUCACGUAAGUGACGCGGUAGAGGAGCGUUCUGUAAGCCUGUGAAGGUGAGUUGAGAAGCUUGCUGGAGGUAUCAGAAGUGCGAAUGCUGACAUGAGUAACGACAAUGGGUGUGAAAAACACCCACGCCGAAAGACCAAGGGUUCCUGCGCAACGUUAAUCGACGCAGGGUUAGUCGGUUCCUAAGGCGAGGCUGAAAAGCGUAGUCGAUGGGAAACAGGUUAAUAUUCCUGUACUUCUGGUUACUGCGAUGGAGGGACGGAGAAGGCUAGGCCAGCUUGGCGUUGGUUGUCCAAGUUUAAGGUGGUAGGCUGAAAUCUUAGGUAAAUCCGGGGUUUCAAGGCCGAGAGCUGAUGACGAGUCGUCUUUUAGAUGACGAAGUGGUUGAUGCCAUGCUUCCAAGAAAAGCUUCUAAGCUUCAGGUAACCAGGAACCGUACCCCAAACCGACACAGGUGGUCGGGUAGAGAAUACCAAGGCGCUUGAGAGAACUCGGGUGAAGGAACUAGGCAAAAUGGCACCGUAACUUCGGGAGAAGGUGCGCCGGCUAGGGUGAAGGAUUUACUCCGUAAGCUCUGGCUGGUCGAAGAUACCAGGCCGCUGCGACUGUUUAUUAAAAACACAGCACUCUGCAAACACGAAAGUGGACGUAUAGGGUGUGACGCCUGCCCGGUGCCGGAAGGUUAAUUGAUGGGGUUAGCGCAAGCGAAGCUCUUGAUCGAAGCCCCGGUAAACGGCGGCCGUAACUAUAACGGUCCUAAGGUAGCGAAAUUCCUUGUCGGGUAAGUUCCGACCUGCACGAAUGGCGUAACGAUGGCGGCGCUGUCUCCACCCGAGACUCAGUGAAAUUGAAAUCGCUGUGAAGAUGCAGUGUAUCCGCGGCUAGACGGAAAGACCCCGUGAACCUUUACUGUAGCUUUGCACUGGACUUUGAGCCUGCUUGUGUAGGAUAGGUGGGAGGCUUUGAAGCGUGGACGCCAGUUCGCGUGGAGCCAUCCUUGAAAUACCACCCUGGCAUGCUUGAGGUUCUAACUCUGGUCCGUAAUCCGGAUCGAGGACAGUGUAUGGUGGGCAGUUUGACUGGGGCGGUCUCCUCCUAAAGAGUAACGGAGGAGUACGAAGGUGCGCUCAGACCGGUCGGAAAUCGGUCGCAGAGUAUAAAGGCAAAAGCGCGCUUGACUGCGAGACAGACACGUCGAGCAGGUACGAAAGUAGGUCUUAGUGAUCCGGUGGUUCUGUAUGGAAGGGCCAUCGCUCAACGGAUAAAAGGUACUCCGGGGAUAACAGGCUGAUACCGCCCAAGAGUUCAUAUCGACGGCGGUGUUUGGCACCUCGAUGUCGGCUCAUCACAUCCUGGGGCUGAAGCCGGUCCCAAGGGUAUGGCUGUUCGCCAUUUAAAGUGGUACGCGAGCUGGGUUUAGAACGUCGUGAGACAGUUCGGUCCCUAUCUGCCGUGGACGUUUGAGAUUUGAGAGGGGCUGCUCCUAGUACGAGAGGACCGGAGUGGACGAACCUCUGGUGUUCCGGUUGUCACGCCAGUGGCAUUGCCGGGUAGCUAUGUUCGGAAAAGAUAACCGCUGAAAGCAUCUAAGCGGGAAACUUGCCUCAAGAUGAGAUCUCACUGGGAACUUGAUUCCCCUGAAGGGCCGUCGAAGACUACGACGUUGAUAGGCUGGGUGUGUAAGCGUUGUGAGGCGUUGAGCUAACCAGUACUAAUUGCCCGUGAGGCUUGACCAU
RNAcentral lists this ribosomal RNA (2889 nucleotides) under Pseudomonas aeruginosa. RNAcentral describes it as "bacterial LSU rRNA". It matches the Rfam family "Bacterial large subunit ribosomal RNA". Lineage: Bacteria; Pseudomonadati; Pseudomonadota; Gammaproteobacteria; Pseudomonadales; Pseudomonadaceae. The record is from RNAcentral.